GACCCACGCCCACAGUUGCCAGCGUACUCUCGUGGAGUAGACGGGUACACGUGUGGGGACCGCCGCCGCUAAAGCGGAGGAAGGAAUGGGCAACGGUAGGUCAGUAUGCCCCGAAUAUCCCGGGCUACACGCGAGCUACAAUGGUUGGUACAAUGGGUAUCUACCCCGAAAGGGGACGGGAAAUCUCCUAAAACCAAUCUUAGUUCGGAUUGAGGGCUGCAACUCGCCCUCAUGAAGCUGGAAUCCGUAGUAAUCGCGUUUCAACAGAACGCGGUGAAUACGUCCCUGCGUCCUU
This 295-nucleotide ribosomal RNA is filed under the name uncultured Methanosaeta sp. Its description in RNAcentral is "partial 16S ribosomal RNA". It matches the Rfam family "Archaeal small subunit ribosomal RNA", at positions 1049 to 1338 of the family's 1478-position model. Lineage: Archaea; Methanobacteriati; Methanobacteriota; Methanomicrobia; Methanotrichales; Methanotrichaceae. The record is from RNAcentral.